Neofelis nebulosa (Clouded leopard) is the source of this 2615-nucleotide long non-coding RNA. RefSeq lists it as uncharacterized. The record is from RefSeq and is a predicted model, not a curated record. NCBI's taxonomy places the organism in Eukaryota, Metazoa, Chordata, Mammalia, Carnivora, Felidae. The transcript is spliced from 3 exons.
AUAUAAAAUAAUAAUCAUAUAAGUUUAUUAUCUCAAAAAUGCUUAUAAUUUGACCCUUUUUUUUUGUAAGAAAGAAUGGAAAUCAUGCUGAUAGUCCUGGAGAAGCCAUAUUUGGACAGGUACUAAAAACGACUCUUGGUGAUACAGUGGACGAAGUGGUAAUGAAGUUUAAAUAAAUGAACUUGGAUAGGCACGACAAGAGCUGUGGCGAUUGAGCUAAAGUACAGGGAAAAAGAGAAAGACAGAACCCAGCUUGCACUGAGUGCCAGUUGCCUUUACGCUGAAAGCAGAGACAAAGAUAGUGAGUGUUUCUUGUGGAUUAGAUGUGGGCUCAGCAGAAGACAGCCAACCUGGAGCCAUUUCAAAUUUCACUCAAGAGUCCUACUCAAAAAGAUGAAGUGACCCCAACAAAGGGCUGGUUCACCUGACUCCCACUGCUGUGGGAGGAAAUAGAAGUGACCAGCGGGAGGUAAAUGUUUCACCCACAGUACAGGCAGUUCAAUGUGGGAGCCUCCAAAGUACCCAUGAAACCACCCACGAGAAGAAUAGUCAGCUUUGAACAUCCACCAGAAAAAGACAGCUUUAAACAUUUGCCACAGCCAGAGGAAACCAAUACCAAAGUACCUUGGUGCCAGUCAGAUUUUUUUUUAAGGGUAAAAAUCUAUAUUUGGAAGUGUCCUUUUAAUGAUCGUCUAUGAAUACAACCUACUUCAGACAUGGAAACAGCCUCCAGACACACAAACAUGAUGAGGAGCAGAGAGAGAAUCCAAGCAGGCUGUCAGCAUGGAGCCCAAUGUUGGACUUGAUCCUGUGAACUGUGAGAACACGACCUGAGCCGAAAUCAAGAGUUGGAUGCCCAGCCAACUGAGCCAGCCUGGCACCCCUGGACUUUAUUUUUAUUAUAUACACAAUUUUUUAAGAUUUUUUAAAAUGUUCAUUUAUUUUUGAGAGAGAGAGAGAGACAGAGUGUGAGUGGGGGAGGCGCAGAAAGAGAGGGAGACACAGAAUCCAAAGGAGGCUCCAGGCUCCAAGCUCUCAGAACAUAGCCCGACACCGGGCUUGAACUCACGAGCCAUGAGAUCAUGACCUGAGCUGAAGUCGGACGCUCAACUGACUGAGCCACCCAGGUGCCCCUAUGUACACAAUUUUUAUUCAUUAAAGAAAACUUGGGUAAUACAAAAAAUUAGAAAGAAGGAGAAAUUAUAUAUGGGACAAUUUCUUAAUUCACUCUAGUGGCAACUGAUAACUGUGUUAUGUGCUGAGAAAAAUACAUCAAUGACAAGGACAUGGACUGUACCCUUUAGGAGAGAGACAUAAAUAAAAUACAUGUAUUUUUAAGACAGUGAAAGGUUAAGUUUGUCAAGCAUCUGCAGUAUUUCAGAAUUUUCCUGUUACCUUUAACUCACUCAUCUGGAGGUAGGCUCUGUUUACCGAGAGAUCACAUGAUCUCUGGGAGCCUGGGCUGUAUCGUGACUGAAUUUGAGGUCCAGUCUUCUUUAGAUUGCAUGUAUCUGCACUUCAUUCUUUAGAGGAGCAGCAGUUGGAAAGAAAUCUUUCUCCUUGUUACAUAGGAUGGGAGGAAGAGUGAUAAAAGGUACCCACUGAAGACAAAGAAACUACUUUAAGAUGGAGGUAGAAAGGGGACAUGGUUACCCAGUAUAUUAAUGACUCAUUCCACGUUUCACAAGAAGGUCAACCACCAAAGCAGAAUGUUUUUUUCUAAAGCUAUUUUGAAUAAAAUUUUGAAAAGGAGCGUUUUAACAAAAUAAAGUCUAGCCAAGAGUUUUACGAUUUUCAAUAGGUGUAGUAAGACACCUACUGAUCCUGUAUAAAUGUGCAGUCAAAAUCAAUUGACUUUUUGUGCUAUCAAUGGCAGACUUCCAUUGAUUUCAGAUAAUUAGAACUGUGUCUAAUAUUUUAAGUAAUUAUGCUGAGAAUGAUACAAAAGAAGUAAAGCUGUGAGAUCCUGUAUUUAUGAUCAUUUAACAUAGCCAAAAAAAAAAUGGAAGAAAAGUAUUUCGGUUCUUAAGAUAUUUGAGGCAACUGGACAUAAGGAAGAAACUGGAAGUUGUCUUAUUCUGGCUUUCUUCCACUGAUGCAGCAAAACCAGGCAGUUUCUAAUUCUCCCUUGAUCAUAUUUUUUAUAUACUUAUAUAUGUAUAUCAAACUCCUAACAAAAUCACCACUCCUUUAAUCUGUUGUUUUCAUUUAUCCAUCUGUCUAGCAUCCAUUCAUCCAGUAAAUAUUUAUUAUGUACCUACUACCAGGGAUAGCACUUUUUUGGACAGGGUAUUACCAAAUACCUCAGGUGAAGAAUAUUCACAUGUCACUGAGAUAUGAGUUUAUAUAAUAAAAUGAAGCUGCUACGGGAAACUUGGAGUUUAUUUACAAAAUAAAUGAGCUUCAAUUUAAGGAGCAAGUAGCACUCAGUUUUUUCAAAACUUAGGGUGGCUUGGUUGUUUGUUUUUAAAGAACACUCCUGGGGCAUCUGGGUGGCUCAGUCAGUUAAGCAUCUGACUUCGGCCCAGGUCAUGAUCUCAUGGUUCAUGAGUUCGAGCCCUGCGUCAGGCUCUGUGCUGACGGCUGAGAGCCUGGAGCCUGCUUCAGAUUCUGUG